This 1123-nucleotide long non-coding RNA is filed under the name Homo sapiens (human). Its description in RNAcentral is "long intergenic non-protein coding RNA 2395". The record is from RNAcentral. Lineage: Eukaryota; Metazoa; Chordata; Mammalia; Primates; Hominidae.
AGGUACAACAGAGACAGCUGUUUGUCCCCCAGUAUCCUUCAGACAAAGCCAUAUAUGAUUGAAGGUUAUCAGUACUGUGCUUUUGGAGGAUUCAGAAGAAGUUAUAUCUGAUUGGGAGAUUGAAAAGGAUUGGCCUGAAGGAGAGGUGGUUUUUGAACUGCAUCUUAAAGGAUGAGGAAACUGAGGCUGAGAGGGUAGAGAACUUUGCCUGAGGUCACUCAGCAGGGACCCACCCAUCACAGUAAAUGCCAGCACUGCUGAUGCCAAAACAAUGUUAUUUGUGCCUGAACACCCUGUCCUACCUGGUCCUACCUGGAUGCUGGCCUCAGUAAGCUCCUGGGCUCAUUGAAGAUGAACCUAGCAGUAGUAUUUACACCACUUGUUGUGUGCCCACUGUGGGCCCGGCGCCAUGCCGAGUGCUCUAUGGAUGUGAGAUGAGAACACUGAAGCAGUUUUUUCUAAAGAUAGCUGCCUGGCACAGUGGCUCACAUCUGUAGUCCCAGCAUUUGGGGAGGCCAAGGCAGGUGGAUCACUUGAGGCCAGGAAUUCAAGACCAGCAUGGCCAACAUGUUUUCCAUCCUUCCUUCAGUGCUGGGAGAGAAAAGCAUACGACAUAGACAGGGAGGUCAAGCUCCACCACGCAGAUGAGGUGCAGGCCACCAGUCUUCCUCUGCCACAUCUCUUUCUGAAAAGGACUUCACAUUCACCCUUGCAAUCCAUGUGGGGACACUGUUGGAUAGGAGGCGUGGUCCCAGCGUGGUCUCCCUGUCUGGGCCUCUGCCUAUGCCAAAUGUUUGCCUUACGCUGCACACUCAAGAGGUUCCAUGUAUACAGAUGGGAAUUCCAGAGCUACAGAAAAGGCAGCAAGCACCAUGAUUUAAGCUAACCAGUGUGGAUUCACACCUUCCUCUCUCUCUAUCAGUGGCAGAACUACCAGCUAGAGUAAGAAGUGGUUGAUCCAGGACCUAAACAUUCUGGAAACUCUUGCCCACUUCUGGGAGAAAUGACCCAAUCCAUAGUACUAAGCACACCUUAACUUUCGUAGGACGCAGGCAAGUUGUCAUACCGUGUGCCUAAAUAUAGAAAAAUGAUCCACUGGACUAAUAAAGUGUUAAAUAAAAUA